AUGUGGCUCGUGGUGCACCGUCGUUGCCUUACGGCGGACAAUCUGCAGAAAAGGAAUUGGCCUUCCAACGGAGUCUGCCCCUUGUGUCUUCAAGCGCCGGAAGACUGCACCCACUUGUUUCUCCACUGCCGUUUUACACAACAAGUUUGGGCGCGCUUCAGAUCUUGGACCGGCGCCGAUUUCCUUAUCCCCGAUAACACCUUUGCCUCCACUCGGGAGUGGUGGUUGCAGACCAGGGCUGUCAUUCCCAAGCACAUCCGAAGGAAUUUUGACACGGUGGUGAUCUUGAUGCAUUGGAGGAUAUGGAAAGAAAGAAACUCCAGGAUCUUUGACCAGGUGGCAGCUUCGCCGUCCGGCGUUCUGGAGCGGGUAGUAGAAGAUGUGGCCAUGUGGAGGGCCACCGGAUGCAUCGUUGAUCUGCCAACUUAG
This 429-nucleotide ribosomal RNA is filed under the name Triticum aestivum (bread wheat). Its description in RNAcentral is "partial small subunit ribosomal RNA". Lineage: Eukaryota; Viridiplantae; Streptophyta; Magnoliopsida; Poales; Poaceae. The record is from RNAcentral.